RNAcentral lists this long non-coding RNA (865 nucleotides) under Olea europaea (common olive). RNAcentral describes it as "long non-coding RNA (OEUR_LNC009648)". Lineage: Eukaryota; Viridiplantae; Streptophyta; Magnoliopsida; Lamiales; Oleaceae. The record is from RNAcentral.
UGAGAGAUGAGCAUAUUGAUAUAACUUCUAACCUGGAACAUAUCGAUAUUCUUGGUCUCAUAUGUUGAGUGUAAUUACUGAGUUCUUUGUUGAUUGAACUGAUUCACAUUUGACAAGGCAAUUACUGUGUUACCUUGUAGUUCUGUGCUCUGAUGCUCGGACUCUUCGAAAUAAUCGGAGUACCCUUGUCGGAUACGACACGUCACAACAUGGUUAUGAAUAUGAGAUAUGUGUCAGAUCCUCCAAAUUUUUAUCAGACACUUUGUUGUUUUUGCUUCUCUUUCUUUCUUUUUUCCCUCUUUUCCUUUACUUUUCCUUUUCUUCUCUCCUAUUUUUGCUUUCUAUAAAUCUAGUAUCGUCGCCGAUGGGGUGGAGAUGGACAGCAGUGCUAGGUUUUCCCUUCUUUUUCUUCUUCUUUCUUUUUUCUUUCCAUUUUCUUCUUUUUUCUUUCUUUUCCUCUCUGUAACGGUGAUUUGGGGUUUCGUUUGUAUAAAAUGAAAAUGGGUUCCAUAUCUAUUAGUGUACUGGGUCCGAAUUUUCCGGUUGGGGCCGAAGCAUUGUCACUCGAUGAUAAGUGCAAUAUUCACUGUCUAAUAGUUGUACGGACUUAUAUUUAUUAGANUCCGGUUGGGGCCGAAGCAUUGUCACUCGAUGAUAAGUGCAAUAUUCACUGUCUAAUAGUUGUACGGACUUAUAUUUAUUAGAAACAAAAGAAAAAAAGUUCUAUUAGAGAUAGUAUAUAGAUGGCAAAAUUACUUAAUUAUAUAAAUUUUUAUACACUAUUUACAAACUCUAUAAUUCUCUUUAUUUACUUAAAUUUCUUUGUGCUUAAAAGGAGUUACAUAAAUGCUGUUUCUAAUUUGUC